RNAcentral lists this long non-coding RNA (242 nucleotides) under Sinocyclocheilus grahami. RNAcentral's name for it is "lncRNA (ENSSGRG00000014134.1)". Lineage: Eukaryota; Metazoa; Chordata; Actinopteri; Cypriniformes; Cyprinidae. The record is from RNAcentral.
GAAGGCUUGAAAAUAUUUUUAUGAGGGGUGCUUGGAUUGAACUUGAACUGAAAAACAUCAGUGUGUUGAUACAGGACAGACUAUUUGACAUGAGACGGUAAACUAUAACAAGUGUAAUUAACAUGGAAUGGACAAGCUAACCACAACCAAGAUUGUGAAAGCAGAGGGGGGAUCUGGAGGAUCUGGAAAAGAAAUCCAAAGACACACAGAAACUGUAACAACCACAAGACUGUCAUCUCUAC